AGGGAAGCCGGUGGGAGUCCGGAGCUAUACCCGUAGCCGUAUGUGCUUGAGGUUGCCGUUCGAGGCGUGAGCCGGUCAUUGGGGCAGGGCCCUGAGAAGGCGGAACGGCAGACGCAGGAGCGAGAUCGCUCUGGAAAGGCACGAGCCGGAAGACCU
RNAcentral lists this non-coding RNA (156 nucleotides) under Flavonifractor plautii. Lineage: Bacteria; Bacillati; Bacillota; Clostridia; Eubacteriales; Oscillospiraceae. The record is from RNAcentral.